GACUGCGUAAUGUUUCAGCCGUCACAUGAA
Molecule: non-coding RNA, 30 nt
Filed under: Mus musculus (house mouse)
Lineage: Eukaryota; Metazoa; Chordata; Mammalia; Rodentia; Muridae
Source: RNAcentral